RNAcentral lists this unclassified non-coding RNA (329 nucleotides) under soil metagenome. RNAcentral's name for it is "partial contains 5.8S ribosomal RNA, internal transcribed spacer 2, and large subunit ribosomal RNA". The stretch from base 1 to 120 matches the Rfam family "5.8S ribosomal RNA", at positions 35 to 154 of the family's 154-position model. The record is from RNAcentral.
GAUGAAGAACGCAGCGAAAUGCGAUAAGUAGUGUGAAUUGCAGGAUUCAGUGAAUCAUCGAAUCUUUGAACGCACAUUGCGCCCCUUGGUAUCCCGAGGGGCAUGCCUGUUCGAGCGUCAUUUCACCACUCAAGCCUGGCUUGGUGUUGGGCGACGUCCCCUUUGGGGACGCGCCUCGAAACGCUCGGCGGCGUGGCACCGGCUUUAAGCGUAGCAGAAUCUUUCGCUUUGGAAGUCGGGGCCCCGUCUGCCGGAAGACCUACUCGCAAGGUUGACCUCGGAUCAGGCAGGGAUACCCGCUGAACUUAAGCAUAUCAAUAAGCGGAGGA